UGCAGCUUCUGGGUGUCGUGUAGAACGAUCACAGAACGAUUUUUUUUUGUUAUUUUCCAACUCGAUUUUUAACUCCCUAAACUAGUAGGAUGUUCCAACGGGUGAAGCAACAGUGCUGACGGCAGUUUCAGUGUCAAGUUUUCAUGCCAUGACCACUGGAGCGGAAACCAUUAUGACAUUGCCUUGGACAUCAAACUAAACCAUCUCAUUCUGGCUUUUGAGGUGGACUCUAACCUCGAAAUCUCAGAAGUACAGGUCUAAGACGGACGCAGCCUCCAUAGGAUGCAACCUUGCAUUUGAGAAACACCCAUAGAACGGUCAACUUACUCCAUACUCUAACCUGAAUGCAGGGAUCAUAAAACUUUAUCUUUUACCUUAAUUGUUAGAUGGGUGUUGAUACCAAACUUUUUUUCUCGUCUACCCAGGAGAAAGUCAUGGGUUCUGCUGCUAAGGUUGUCAUAAAUGUCUUUUAUUCUGCUUACCUGACUCAUGCAGAAUUCUGGCUUGAUGUUUGGUCCACCUGUUAGCUGGCUCUGGUGCUUGGUAGUCUUCUCAAACCUCUGAAUCAAGACCACCAUGAGAGGCCUUCUGAAGACCAUCAUUACGCUUCAGAUCCAGUUGUCUUUACUAUGAGGUAAAUCUUUUUUAACUGCAGCAUUGAGCGUUAUGUGCGCUGUUAAAGGAAUAGUCUACUCAUUUUCAAUAUUAAAAUAUGUUAUUACCUUAACUAAGAAUUGUUGAUACAUCCCUCUAUCAUCUGUGUGCGUGCACGUAAGCGCUGGAGCGCGCUGCGACGCUUCGAUAGCAUUUAGCUUAGCCCCAUUCAUUCAAUGGUACCAUUUAGAGAUAAAGUUAGAAGUGACCAAACACAUCAACGUUUUUCCUAUUUAAGACGAGUAGUUAUACGAGCAAGUUUGGUGGUACAAAAUAAAACGUAGCGCUUUUCUAAGCGGAUUUAAAAGAGGAACUAUAUUUUAUGGCGUAAUAGCACUUUUGGGAGUACUUCGACUCGGCGCAGUAACAUUAUGAGAGUGAGAAGG
Misgurnus anguillicaudatus (oriental weatherfish) is the source of this 1040-nucleotide non-coding RNA. Lineage: Eukaryota; Metazoa; Chordata; Actinopteri; Cypriniformes; Cobitidae. The record is from RefSeq and is a predicted model, not a curated record.